AUUGCCUCAGUAACGGCGAGUGAAGCGGCAACAGCUCAAAUUUGAAAUCUGGCCCUAGGCCCGAGUUGUAAUUUGCAGAGGAUGCUUUUGGUGAGGUGCCUUCCGAGUUCCCUGGAACGGGACGCCAUAGAGGGUGAGAGCCCCGUCUGGUUGGAUACCGAGCCUCUGUAAAGCUCCUUCGACGAGUCGAGUAGUUUGGGAAUGCUGCUCAAAAUGGGAGGUACAUGUCUUCUAAAGCUAAAUACCGGCCAGAGACCGAUAGCGCACAAGUAGAGUGAUCGAAAGAUGAAAAGCACUUUGAAAAGAGAGUUAAACAGCACGUGAAAUUGUUAAAAGGGAAGCGUUUAUGACCAGACUUGGGCCGGUUGAUCAUCCAGUGUUCUCACUGGUGCACUCUGCCGGUCUAGGCCAGCAUCAGUUCGCUGCGGGGGAUAAAGGCGUCGGGAAUGUGGCUCCUCGGAGUGUUAUAGCCCUUCGUGUAAUACCCUGUGGUGGACUGAGGUUCGCGCUCUGCAAGGAUGCUGGCGUAAUGGUCAUCAACGACCCGUCUUGAAACACGGACCAAGGAGUCGUCUUCGUAUGCGAGUGUUCGGGUGUCAAACCCCUACGCGUAAUGAAAGUGAACGCAGGUGAGAGCUUCGGCGCAUCAUCGACCGAUCCUGAUGUUCUCGGAUGGAUUUGAGUAAGAGCAUACGGGGCCGGACCCGAAAGAAGGUGAACUAUGCCUGUAUAGGGUGAAGCCAGAGGAAACUCUGGUGGAGGCUCGCAGCGGUUCUGACGUGCAAAUCGAUCGUCAAAUAUGGGCAUGGGGGCGAAAGACUAAU
RNAcentral lists this ribosomal RNA (824 nucleotides) under Memnoniella putrefolia. RNAcentral describes it as "eukaryotic LSU rRNA". It matches the Rfam family "Eukaryotic large subunit ribosomal RNA", at positions 74 to 935 of the family's 3401-position model. The record is from RNAcentral. Lineage: Eukaryota; Fungi; Ascomycota; Sordariomycetes; Hypocreales; Stachybotryaceae.